RNA transcript from Hibiscus syriacus, 1388 nucleotides. RefSeq lists it as uncharacterized. The record is from RefSeq and is a predicted model, not a curated record. The transcript has 4 exons. NCBI's taxonomy places the organism in Eukaryota, Viridiplantae, Streptophyta, Magnoliopsida, Malvales, Malvaceae.
ACUAAGUCUGACGAGGAACAUCCAGCCGCUACAUCCGUACUAAUAAUAUGGAAAAAAAAAGUUUAGAAAAAAAAAUCGGCCCAAUGUCGCGCUUCUUCGCUAUAUCGCACGGUUCCGAUUGAAUCGCGCGGUUCCGAUCGCGCGGCACCGCUAUGUCGCGCGACUUGAAAGUUCAGGUAGCAGCCAUGACGGGGAAACAGCAGGUUAAACGGAAGGUUACCGGAAAGGAACACCUGAGGCCGAAUCAAAGAAAGCUUCAGAAGGAGAUGAAAAGAAUACAAGUGUUCAAAGGACGGGGAGAGGAGAUGAAGGCGGUGCAAGCAGAGCUGACUGGAUUAAUGGACCAAAAGCUGCUGCAACUUAAAUUGAACCCAAACUCAGAAAAUCUUCAAGCCCUGAAACGCACCGGUCACAAGCUCCGAGAAGUCAACCGGCGGGCCAUACUGUGGGAUGCGCAGGUCUACGAUUACCUUAAGGGUCUGCUCGAUGAAUUAAAGCAGGCUGAUAACCAAGACAACGCCCCUCCGUCAGGUAUGUGCAAAAGCAAAAGCUGUUCAAGUUGAAAUUUUUAUGGGAUCCGUGGUAAGUCUGCGGAAAUUAGUUUGAUUACCUGUUUUUAAUUCUGGGUUUCGUUAGCUAAUUAUGAUGUUUGAUUGCUUUUGUAUUGGUGGUCUGAAACUAACAGGAGAUGGGGUUUGGAUGAUCUUUUAGUAGGCUAUUUCGUUUUUGUCUCCAGGUAUUCAAGGACGAAGUGGAAUAUUUUGAGCUGCUUCUUCAUAUGGGGGCAGGCUUUCCAUCCUGUUUGUGUGUAUGUUUGUACUCUUGUCCUAUAAGCUUUGGUUUGUCAGGGUUGAAUAUGCAGAAAACUAGUGCUCAUCGUAAUACUCGUUCACUUUACGUAAAUUAUCAUGUUAUAUAUACGUGUUGAUGUUGAUUUUGUGAACCUUUUCGUAAUAAAUAUGUUGAACUAUGAUGGUGGUAAAGAUUCUAUGUUUUACCUAUUCUAGCUAGGCUCACAUAUCUCCUACUUUUAGCAUGUGCUUUUGUUUCCUUAUCUAGAGAAUAGAUAAAGCUCGAUUGAAGGUGCUGGUGGUGUUUAUGGGAUUUUCCUUUGACAUCCUAAUCCCUAUUCCCAGCAGUAUGAUUCUAUCAUACUACCAUUUUUUAUGGGUUUAAACAUCUUAUUUACAGGGCCAACAUCCUUAAUUUGUAGAUGCCACUUCACUGGGGAAUCUUUUGGUACAUUAGUCUAUCUUGUUUUACUCAUACGAGUGUUGAUUGUAACCUUUAAUGGAAAAAAAGUAAGUUGAAGAGUACUUAAAGGAGAGGUCAUUAAGAGUGUGAUUUACUAAUGAUGUAAUGGUCCCAAGAUUGAUGGGAUUGUAAUU